Molecule: ribosomal RNA, 571 nt
Filed under: uncultured Bacteroidota bacterium
Lineage: Bacteria; Pseudomonadati; Bacteroidota
Description: bacterial SSU rRNA
Rfam family: Bacterial small subunit ribosomal RNA
Source: RNAcentral
AAGAGCUUGCUUUUCUGAUGACGACCGGCGCACGGGUGCGUAACGCGUAUGCAACCUACCUUAUACUGGGGAAUAGCCAGAAGAAAUUCUGAUUAAUGCCCCAUAGUAUUUAUUAACCGCAUGGUUUUAUAAAUUAAAGAUUACGGUAUAAGAUGGGCAUGCGUCCUAUUAGCUAGAUGGUAAGGUAACGGCUUACCAUGGCAACGAUAGGUAGGGGGCCUGAGAGGGUGAUCCCCCACACUGGUACUGAGACACGGACCAGACUCCUACGGGAGGCAGCAGUGAGGAAUAUUGGGCAAUGGAGGCAACUCUGACCCAGCCAUGCCGCGUGCAGGAAGAAGGUUCUAUGGAUCGUAAACUGCUUUUAUUUGUGAAUAAACUCUCGGACGUGUCCGAGCCUGAAUGUAGCAAAUGAAUAAGCACCGGCUAACUCCGUGCCAGCAGCCGCGGUAAUACGGAGGGUGCAAGCGUUAUCCGGAAUCAUUGGGUUUAAAGGGUCCGCAGGCGGACUUAUAAGUCAGUGGUGAAAUCUCACAGCUUAACUGUGAAACUGCCAUUGAUACUGUAAGUC